RNAcentral lists this ribosomal RNA (203 nucleotides) under uncultured bacterium. RNAcentral describes it as "partial 16S ribosomal RNA". It matches the Rfam family "Bacterial small subunit ribosomal RNA", at positions 1298 to 1500 of the family's 1533-position model. The record is from RNAcentral.
UUGUAGUCUGCAACUCGACUACAUGAAGCCGGAAUCGCUAGUAAUCGCGGAUCAGAAUGCCGCGGUGAAUACGUUCCCGGGUCUUGUACACACCGCCCGUCACACCAUGGGAGCCGGAAAUGCCCGAAGUCAGUGACCCAACCGCGAGGAGGGAGCUGCCGAAGGCAGGUCUGGUAACUGGGGUGAAGUCGUAACAAGGUAUC